GGGUGCGAUCAUACCAGCACUU
RNAcentral lists this ribosomal RNA (22 nucleotides) under Beta vulgaris subsp. maritima. Lineage: Eukaryota; Viridiplantae; Streptophyta; Magnoliopsida; Caryophyllales; Amaranthaceae. The record is from RNAcentral.